Long non-coding RNA from Quercus lobata, 221 nucleotides. RefSeq lists it as uncharacterized. The transcript has 4 exons. NCBI's taxonomy places the organism in Eukaryota, Viridiplantae, Streptophyta, Magnoliopsida, Fagales, Fagaceae. The record is from RefSeq and is a predicted model, not a curated record.
GUGGUUAGACAAGAAACUUGGGAGGCCUUUAUUGCUGACAUGCUGUUUUUUGCAAAGGUUUUUCUUGUCGCUCUUGCUUUGGUAAUUGAUUACCACCUGGCUUUUUGGUACUUGGGGGCAUUUUUUGUGAUAUAUAUUCUAACCCAACAGCCUGCCUACCAAGGACUAGGUACUUCAAGUAAACUAACACCAUUGCAGUUGGAAGCCUUGCUAACAAAGGG